Non-coding RNA from Brachypodium distachyon (stiff brome), 137 nucleotides. The record is from Rfam. Lineage: Eukaryota; Viridiplantae; Streptophyta; Magnoliopsida; Poales; Poaceae.
CUAAUACUCCCCUCCGUCCAACAAAGGAUGUCUCAAGUUUGUCAAAAUUUGGAUGUAUCUAGACAUGACUUAGUGUAUAGAUGCAUUCAAAUUUAGUCAACGUUGAGACAUCCUUCGUUGGACGGAGAGACUAUAUA